AACACAUGAUGACAAACUGUUUCGGUCCCAUAUGAUCCCCUGAUUACUAUCUAUUGAGAUCAGCUGAUGUU
Amphiprion ocellaris (clown anemonefish) is the source of this 71-nucleotide small nucleolar RNA. Its record names the gene SNORD73. It matches the Rfam family "Small nucleolar RNA SNORD73". From Rfam's summary of the family: U73 is a member of the C/D class of snoRNA which contain the C (UGAUGA) and D (CUGA) box motifs. U73 is encoded within the introns of ribosomal protein S3a and contains a 12nt region of complementarity to a conserved sequence in 28S ribosomal RNA. The record is from Ensembl. Lineage: Eukaryota; Metazoa; Chordata; Actinopteri; Pomacentridae.